GCAGGCUCUAAAAUUAAUUCAGAUCCUAGUCCAAAGUUGUUGACAUCAUCAGUUCCGAUAUUGCUUUUGCUGUGAUUUAAUUGUUGUAUAUAAAUGUAAAAUUGUUCUUCUAAGUUUCAUUAAUUUGAUAUUUCCUUUCGUUACUUUGAAGAAACUGCAGACUUCUUAAUUACCGUGGAAUAGUUAAAAUCCAGUUCAUUGGAGGGAUGACGCCAAAGUAGAACAGGGAGAACAUGAUAUUUUUGUUUGCCUAAUUCAUCAUAAAUCAGUUGACUGAAUAAAUUUGCCUCUCAGAAAAUCAUUCUCGCCUUUUAGGUCGUUUAUGUGAAUCACAGUCAUAAGAGUCGAGAAUUUAAAUGUUCAGGACUAUGACAAGAAAAGAGAAUGUACGAAGGUGGGGGAAGUGAUGAAGCAAAAUACUUGCUCUUAAGCAAUGGACACAUGCCUUGUUCAGAAAUUACAUGAACAUGAUACGGUCUGGCAGACAUUGGACUUGAGGAGCAAGGAUGAAAUAGGAGAGCCAAGAAGUUACGAGGAGUGAUUAAAGGAAAAAGUUGUGGUGCAUGAUACAAGCUCAGAAGUUGGCAGAAUGUGUUCCUUCUUCCUUUUCGUUUUUCCACCAUCAGAGUGACAAGACUAAAAACCAUUCUCUCCUUUCUUGACUUCGUUACAUGGUUAAUAAAUGCCAUGCUUGAGGGAGCAUGUCUUGCGCCUAUUGUUCCAUAUUUUUUCACAGGCCUUCAGUGUAGUUGGGGCUUUCACACAAGACAUUUGUGCUGUAAACUUUUGACAUGCAAUAGUGAUCAAUAUAAAUAUAACUAGUGCAAAGAAAUCUCUAAGUUUCUGAAGCAAUUCAAGCACAAGCAGAUCAAAACUCAAGUUUGUAGAUAAGAGAAUGUUAGAAAGUAUGAGAGGGUGUAUUUGGUUUUGGAGUUCGGAGUGGUUUCAAUUUUUUUAUGCAAAUACAAAAUAGCUUUCAUUGUUUAUAAUAUCAUUGCAAAUUGUUUAAGUGCUUCAACUGCUAUACAGUAUUAUAGUUUCUU
This is a long non-coding RNA of Pistacia vera, 1043 nucleotides long. RefSeq lists it as uncharacterized. The record is from RefSeq and is a predicted model, not a curated record. NCBI's taxonomy places the organism in Eukaryota, Viridiplantae, Streptophyta, Magnoliopsida, Sapindales, Anacardiaceae. The transcript has 4 exons.